This 435-nucleotide ribosomal RNA is filed under the name uncultured Allobrachymonas sp. RNAcentral's name for it is "bacterial SSU rRNA". It matches the Rfam family "Bacterial small subunit ribosomal RNA", at positions 941 to 1382 of the family's 1533-position model. The record is from RNAcentral. Lineage: Bacteria; Pseudomonadati; Pseudomonadota; Betaproteobacteria; Burkholderiales; Comamonadaceae.
GUGGUUUAAUUCGAUGCAACGCGAAAACCUUACCCACCUUUGACAUGGCAGGAAUCCUGAAGAGAUUGGGAGUGCUCGAAAGAGAACCUGCACACAGGUGCUGCAUGGCUGUCGUCAGCUCGUGUCGUGAGAUGUUGGGUUAAGUCCCGCAACGAGCGCAACCCUUGCCAUUAGUUGCUACGAAAGGGCACUCUAAUGGGACUGCCGGUGACAAACCGGAGGAAGGCGGGGAUGACGUCAAGUCCUCAUGGCCCUUAUAGGUGGGGCUACACACGUCAUACAAUGGCCGGUACAGAGGGUAGCCAACCCGCGAGGGGGAGCCAAUCCCACAAAGCCGGUCGUAGUCCGGAUCGCAGUCUGCAACUCGACUGCGUGAAGUCGGAAUCGCUAGUAAUCGCGGAUCAGCAUGUCGCGGUGAAUACGUUCCCGGGUCUU